GAGUUUGAUCGUGGCUCAGGAUGAACGCUGGCGGCGUGCUUAACACAUGCAAGUCAAGGGGGCCCAGCAGUGGGCAACCGGCGAACGGGUGCGUAACACGUGAGCAACCUACCUAGGUGUGGGGGAUAGCCGGCCCAACGGCCGGGUAAUACCGCAUACGCUCUUCUUUAGGCAUUUAGAGGAGAGGAAACCUUCGGGGCACCAUGAGGGGCUCGCGGCCUAUCAGCUAGUUGGCGAGGUAAUGGCUCACCAAGGCUACGACGGGUAGCUGGUCUGAGAGGAUGGCCAGCCACAUUGGGACUGAGAAACGGCCCAGACUCCUACGGGAGGCAGCAGUGGGGAAUCUUGCGCAAUGGCCUAACGGCUGACGCAGCGACGCCGCGUGAGGGAUGACGCUCUUCGGAGUGUAAACCUCUUUUGCCUGGAACGAACCAUCAGCAUUUGCUGAUUUGACGGUACCGGGUGAAUAAGCACCGGCUAACUCCGUGCCAGCAGCCGCCGCGGUAAC
This 508-nucleotide ribosomal RNA is filed under the name uncultured bacterium. RNAcentral's name for it is "bacterial SSU rRNA". It matches the Rfam family "Bacterial small subunit ribosomal RNA", at positions 9 to 524 of the family's 1533-position model. The record is from RNAcentral.